GUAGGGAAUAUUGCACAAUGGGCGAAAGCCUGAUGCAGCAACGCCGCGUGCGCGAUGAAGGCCUUCGGGUCGUAAAGCGCUUUUUGGGGAGACGAGGAAGGACGGUAUCCCCAGAAUAAGGAUCGGCUAACUACGUGCCAGCAGCCGCGGUAAAACGUAGGAUCCGAGCGUUAUCCGAAUUCACUGGGCGUAAAGCGCGAGUAGGCGGCAUAUCAAGUUGGAUGUAAAACCUCCCGGCUCAACUGGGAGCAGACGUACAAGACUGAUAAGCUAGAGGACGGUAGAGGGAGGUGGAAUUCCCGGUGUAGUGGUGAAAUGCGUAGAUAUCGGGAGGAACACCAGAGGCGAAGGCGGCCUCCUGGACCGUUCCUGACGCUGAGAAGCGAAAGCUAGGGGAGCGAACGGGAUUAGAAACCCUUGUAGUCC
This 426-nucleotide ribosomal RNA is filed under the name uncultured bacterium. Its description in RNAcentral is "bacterial SSU rRNA". It matches the Rfam family "Bacterial small subunit ribosomal RNA", at positions 354 to 796 of the family's 1533-position model. The record is from RNAcentral.